CCUACGGGAGGCAGCAGUGAGGAAUAUUGGUCAAUGGGCGAGAGCCUGAACCAGCCAAGUCGCGUGAAGGAUGAAGGAUCUAUGGGUUGUAAACUUCUUUUAUAUGGGAAUAAAGUGAUGAACGUGUUCAUUUUUGUAUGUACUUUAUGAAUAAGGAUCGGCUAACUCCGUGCCAGCAGCCGCGGUAAUACGGAGGAUCCGAGCGUUAUCCGGAUUUAUUGGGUUUAAAGGGAGCGUAGAUGGAUUGUUAAGUCAGUUGUGAAAGUUUGCGGCUCAACCGUAAAAUUGCAAUUGAUACUGGCAGUCUUGAGUACAGUUGAGGUAGGCGGAAUUCGUGGUGUAGCGGUGAAAUGCUUAGAUAUCACGAAGAACCCCGAUUGCGAAGGCAGCUUACUAAACUGUGACUGACAUUGAUGCUCGAAAGUGUGGGUAUCAAACAGGAUUAGAUACCCCUGUAGUC
This 460-nucleotide ribosomal RNA is filed under the name uncultured bacterium. Its description in RNAcentral is "partial 16S ribosomal RNA". It matches the Rfam family "Bacterial small subunit ribosomal RNA", at positions 338 to 795 of the family's 1533-position model. The record is from RNAcentral.